RNAcentral lists this ribosomal RNA (488 nucleotides) under uncultured bacterium. RNAcentral's name for it is "bacterial SSU rRNA". It matches the Rfam family "Bacterial small subunit ribosomal RNA", at positions 9 to 507 of the family's 1533-position model. The record is from RNAcentral.
CGAGUUUGAUCCUGGCUCAGGAUGAACGCUAGCGGCAGGCUUAAUACAUGCAAGUCAAGGGGGUAGCAAUACUACCGGCGCACGGGUGAGUAACACGUACAUAACAUACCAUAUACUGGGGUAUAGCUUUGGGAAACUGAAGGUAAUCCCCCAUAACAUUGCGAGAGGGCAUCUGAUUGCAAUUAAAGUUUCGACGGUAUAUGAUUGAUGUGCGUUUGAUUAGCUUGUUGGUAGGGUAACGGCCUACCAAGGCGACGAUCAAUAGCUGGCGUGAGAGCGCGACCAGCCACACUGGAACUGAGACACGGUCCAGACUCCUACGGGAGGCAGCAGUAGGGAAUAUUGGACAAUGGGCGAAAGCCUGAUCCAGCCAUGCCGCGUGAUAGAUGAAGGCCCUCUGGGUUGUAAAUAUCUUUUAUCUGGGAAGAAACAAUCUUAUUCUUAAGAUCUUGACGGUACCAGAGGAAUAAGCACCGGCUAACUCCGUG